Molecule: ribosomal RNA, 919 nt
Filed under: uncultured bacterium
Lineage: Bacteria
Description: bacterial SSU rRNA
Rfam family: Bacterial small subunit ribosomal RNA
Source: RNAcentral
GAGUUUGAUCAUGGCUCAGGAUGAACGCUGGCGGCGUGCCUAACACAUGCAAGUCGAACGGGGUUAAGCGAAAUUUUCGGAUGGAGCUUAACUUAGUGGCGGACGGGUGAGUAACGCGUGGAUAACCUGCCUCACACUGGGGGAUAGCAGCUGGAAACGGCUGGUAAUACCGCAUAAGACCACAGCACCGCAUGGUGCAGGGGUAAAAGAUUUAUCGGUGUGAGAUGGAUCCGCGUCUGAUUAGCCAGUUGGCGGGGUAACGGCCCACCAAAGCGACGAUCAGUAGCCGGCCUGAGAGGGUGAACGGCCACAUUGGGACUGAGACACGGCCCAAACUCCUACGGGAGGCAGCAGUGGGGAAUAUUGCACAAUGGGCGCAAGCCUGAUGCAGCAACGCCGCGUGAGUGAAGAAGUAUUUCGGUAUGUAAAGCUCUAUCGGCAGGGAAGAAAGGCCCUUAACAGGGAGAUGACGGUACCUGACUAAGAAGCCCCGGCUAACUACGUGCCAGCAGCCGCGGUAAUACGUAGGGGGCAAGCGUUAUCCGGAUUUACUGGGUGUAAAGGGAGCGCAGACGGCAGUGCAAGUCUGAUGUGAAAGCCCGGGGCUCAACCCCGGAACUGCAUUGGAAACUGUACAGCUCGAGUGUCGGAGAGGUAAGCGGAAUUCCUAGUGUAGCGGUGAAAUGCGUAGAUAUUAGGAGGAACACCGGUGGCGAAGGCGGCUUACUGGACGAUUACUGACGUUGAGGCUCGAAAGCGUGGGGAGCAAACAGGAUUAGAUACCCUGGUAGUCCACGCUGUAAACGAUGAAUACUAGGUGUGGGUGUGCACUGCACAUCCGUGCCGCAGCUAACGCAAUAAGUAUUCCACCUGGGGAGUACGUUCGCAAGAAUGAAACUCAAAGGAAUUGACGGGGACC